RNAcentral lists this transfer RNA (66 nucleotides) under Uroplatus ebenaui. RNAcentral describes it as "tRNA-Lys". The record is from RNAcentral. Lineage: Eukaryota; Metazoa; Chordata; Lepidosauria; Squamata; Gekkonidae.
CUGUAAGAAGCUUUUGCAAGCGCCGGCCUUUUAAGCCGGCGAUGGGCCCCUAUAACCCCUUAUAGA